UACAGUUGGAUUUUUAUACCAGCUCUGUUAUCCCCAGCUGGGGAUGAAAUCCAUUGCGAAGGGGAUGAAGUGGAGGUGGCUGUACACACACACACACACAAUUUGUUACAAACUGUUUAUCCAAUUGACAGGAAACUUAGCAUCAACAUUAUAGAGUAUACAUUAAUGAUAAUAUACAAGAUUGUGAAUGUCACACAGUUUUACAUACAUCUGGAUAAUCCCUCAUCAGACUGUGAUUAAACAUUUCAUUGCUAAUUCUUAUUCUAUCCUGUACAUACUGUUGAUAUGUCAUGUUCAUCGUUUAGAGUUUACGUGGCAGGAGAUGUAUAUGUAUACAUAAGCAAAGGCAAAUUGUAAGCAUGGCAAAUUCUUUGUUGAGAUUUAGUAAUGUCUUUCUCAAAGAGACCCAAGUGUAAAUGUUUGUCGUAAGCACCAUGGAUAAUAGCAUUUACAUAAUGUCCCGUGACAAGAAAUUACAUCUAAAAUACAAAUGUAUUUUUUUCAGAUUUGUAAAAAAAGACCUGCUUCUCCUGGUGUUGUAUCCUUGCUGGACGGAGAUGGUGAAGAUGCUGGAGGCGGCCAAGCCAGCACAGUAUGGGGUAGAUUUGACAAGGGACAAGAAAAGAAGGCCACCUCCCCUCCAGACAUUCCGAUCAGAGAAAAGAGACAAUUCGAAGCCAACCCAAAGAGACGUCCAAGACCUUGUCUGGGCUGCCUAUCUGUAAUAUCAGCUAAAAAGGAGGCUCCUGUAACAGUAAGUUAUCUUUCCUGUAGCCAUUCCCUAGACUGCAGUGUUAUGUGGCACUUCAUUACCAAAUCAAUCAGAAAACAUGUCACCUUCAGUUAGUCCAUUUUUUUUAUUUGUUUUUUAAAAAUCAAUUAAAAGAUAUUUAAACUUG
Long non-coding RNA from Acipenser ruthenus (sterlet), 899 nucleotides. RefSeq lists it as uncharacterized. The transcript is spliced from 2 exons. The record is from RefSeq and is a predicted model, not a curated record. Lineage: Eukaryota; Metazoa; Chordata; Actinopteri; Acipenseriformes; Acipenseridae.